RNAcentral lists this ribosomal RNA (450 nucleotides) under uncultured bacterium. Its description in RNAcentral is "partial 16S ribosomal RNA". It matches the Rfam family "Bacterial small subunit ribosomal RNA", at positions 354 to 796 of the family's 1533-position model. The record is from RNAcentral.
GUGGGGAAUAUUGGACAAUGGGCGAAAGCCUGAUCCAGCCAUGCCGCGUGUGUGAAGAAGGUCUUCGGAUUGUAAAGCACUUUAAGUUGGGAGGAAGGGCAGUAAGUUAAUACCUUGCUGUUUUGACGUUACCGACAGAAUAAGCACCGGCUAACUUCGUGCCAGCAGCCGCGAUAAUACGAAGGGUGCAAGCGUUAAUCGGAAUUACUGGGCGUAAAGCGCGCGUAGGUGGUUUUGUAAGUUGGAGGUGAAAUCCCCGGGCUCAACCUGGGAACUGCCUCCAAAACUGCAUGACUAGAGUACGGGAGAGGGUAGUGGAAUUUCCUGUGGAGCGGUGAAAUGCGUAGAUAUAGGAAGGAACACCAGUGGCGAAGGCGACCACCUGGACUGAUACUGACACUGAGGUGCGAAAGCGUGGGGAGCAAACAGGAUUAGAUACCCGAGUAGUCC